CGCUGCCUAAGUCGUGACUUGAGAUCGUGCCCCUGUCGUUGCGAGAUCAGCGUCUCACCAAUCACCAUUCACCAACGCCUAGUUCUCAUCCGCUCCAGCUCGGAUCCCUAUCCAUCAAUCCGUUCUUCCUCGGCCGUUACGGUUCUCCGCCGGUGCGAAUGGCCCACCCCUCCGCCGCCGCCGCCGCCGUGGGUGAUCUGAUCCCUGGCAUCCCAGACGACGUUGCGGUGCGUUGCAUCGCCCAGGUGCCCCGCUCCCAUCACCCGUUUCUCGCUGUAGUAUCGCGAUCCUGGCGUUCCCUACUCGGCUCCCCGAUCUUCUGCGCCGCCCGCUCCCAACUUUCCCUCCCCGACCCUCCCGCCCUCGCCCUCGCCCUCAACCUCCGCUCACCCACCGACCAGUCCUGGUUUCUCCUCGAUCCCUUCCUCCGAUUCAGCGGCUCGCGGAAGAAGUCGCCGCCCCCUCUCCGCCUCCCCUCCCCGCCCCUCCCCGCCAUCGGUUCCGCUUGCGCCUCCCUCGGCGGCUCCCUCUUCCUCCUCGGCGGAUCCGUCGCUGACGUUCCCUCCCUCGCUGUUCAGAUCUUCGACGCCCGCCUUCGCAGGUGGUCCUCCGGCCCCCGCAUGUCCGCCGCUCGCGAGUUCGCCGCAGCAGCCGCCGUCGGCGGCCGCAUCUACGCCAUCGGCGGAUGCCUACCCCGGGCCGACGCCUGGGCCGAGUCCCUUGACCCCUCUGCUGGAGGGAAAUGGGCCGUUGUUCCCAGCCCGAUGGUCAUCAGGGAGAAGUGGAUGCACGGGUGCGCUGUCCUCGCGGGCAGGAUCCUCGCGGUGGCGGAUCGGGGCGGCCUGGUGUACGACCCGGCGGCCCCGUCGAAUGAUGCCAGGUGGGGUCCGGUGCCUCCGGUUCUGGACAACGGGUGGAGGGGGAGGGCGACGGUGGUGGGAGGGAUACUCUACUCCUAUGAUUUUCUCGGCAAAAUCAAGGGGUACGACCCGGAAUCCGACGAGUGGAAGAAAGUGGAGGGGGUAGAGAAUGAACUCCCCACCUUCUUGUGCGGCGCGACGCUGACAAACCUGGGCGGUUUGCUCUGCCUUCUGUGGACAGGCAAGGACUUGGCGAGCAGGAGAAAAGAAAUGGUGAUCGAGUGGGCUGGGAUCGAGAUAUCGAAGACGACAGAUGGAAGGUUGCAGGGAUCGCUUCUGUGGCAGGAACCUGUUGUCCUAGACGCUCCCAAGGGAUCAUACAUUGCCCACUGCGUGCCCUUGGAUUUGUGAAACUGCAAAAAAGAUUCAACCUUUGCGAUAAUGGAGAGUUGCUUCUUGAGGGAACAUGUGGAUAUGCAAUGCUGCAAUAAAGAUACAUUAGGAGUAGCUUGGUCGGUUUAGGUUCUUGAUACUCAUGCUGGCUGCAGAUUGUAUAAUCCAUAAAAGCUAAAAACUUGUCUAGCCAAUGCUAUUGCAAUCUGGAAAGCUACAAAAAGUGAUGCAAGUUUGAUGCUGCGAUGUGUUUGGCCAGUAGUUUCAAUGAAGAAACUUAUUGCUGCGUGUUUUUCCAAAUGAUUCUUAGCGUAGAUUCUAUUGGAACCAUGCAAAUUCGAAAUAGUUGGUUCAUGCUGAAUUGAAAGCAUUUAUCAGGCCAAGAAAGUGCAGUGCGAAGAAAUAAUUUGUUUGGUUCAAGUAUCAUGUGUAUUUAUUUGCUGGAAGGAAACAAUUCGAAUAUGCCUAAUAAACUUGCAUUAUUUUCCCUACUUACAUAAUAGGGAUCUA
Molecule: RNA transcript, 1763 nt
Organism: Zingiber officinale
Lineage: Eukaryota; Viridiplantae; Streptophyta; Magnoliopsida; Zingiberales; Zingiberaceae
Gene name: F-box/kelch-repeat protein SKIP6-like
Exons: 3
Source: RefSeq, a predicted model, not a curated record